AGUGAACGCUGGCGGUAGGCCUAACACAUGCAAGUCGGACGGCAGCACAGUAAGAGCUUGCUCUUACGGGUGGCGAGUGGCGGACGGGUGAGGAAUACAUCGGAAUCUACUUUUUCGUGGGGGAUAACGUAGGGAAACUUACGCUAAUACCGCAUACGACCUACGGGUGAAAGCAGGGGAUCUUCGGACCUUGCGCGAUUGAAUGAGCCGAUGUCGGAUUAGCUAGUUGGCGGGGUAAAGGCCCACCAAGGCGACGAUCCGUAGCUGGUCUGAGAGGAUGAUCAGCCACACUGGAACUGAGACACGGUCCAGACUCCUACGGGAGGCAGCAGUGGGGAAUAUUGGACAAUGGGCGCAAGCCUGAUCCAGCCAUACCGCGUGGGUGAAGAAGGCCUUCGGGUUGUAAAGCCCUUUUGUUGGGAAAGAAAAGCGGCAGGUUAAUACCCCGCUGUUCUGACGGUACCCAAAGAAUAAGCACCGGCUAACUUCGUG
This 492-nucleotide ribosomal RNA is filed under the name uncultured bacterium. Its description in RNAcentral is "partial 16S ribosomal RNA". It matches the Rfam family "Bacterial small subunit ribosomal RNA", at positions 29 to 507 of the family's 1533-position model. The record is from RNAcentral.